CCAUGGCCGUCGAUUGAAAGGCGGAGCACCCGACGGAUCAGCGAUGGCAGACAGGCACUCCUCCAGCCGGAGUCGAGUCACCGCGUCGGAAGCACCGCCGCGGGGCGGGUGUUGAGUUACGGCAAACAGCCAUCUGGUCUGCGGCUCAGUCGCACUUGUGCAGCCACGGCCGUCGGUUGAAAGGCGGAGUACCCGACGGACCAGCGAUGUCAGACAGACAUUCCUCCAGCCGGUGUCGAGUCACCGCGGCGGCGCUCCUGCCGCUGCUGUUGCUGUACACCCUGCCGACCAGCCAGUCGCUCCCUCUUGAGCACUUGCCUGUUGGAAUGGUGUCCCGACCAAAUGACGUCCAUGCACAAUCGAUCGUGAUCAGCUGUCCGGAAGGCAGCCGCAGCUGCGGAAACGGGUACUGCUGCCCGACAAGGGGACGUCCAGUAAGAAGCUGUCCAUCGGGCCAAGUCUACGUUUCUGGUGUCGGCUGCCUCUCUUUGUUUGCCUAGCCCCGUUUGGUGGACGCGUAGGC
Long non-coding RNA from Pollicipes pollicipes, 523 nucleotides. RefSeq lists it as uncharacterized. Lineage: Eukaryota; Metazoa; Arthropoda; Thecostraca; Pollicipedomorpha; Pollicipedidae. The transcript has 3 exons. The record is from RefSeq and is a predicted model, not a curated record.